This 507-nucleotide ribosomal RNA is filed under the name uncultured bacterium. Its description in RNAcentral is "bacterial SSU rRNA". It matches the Rfam family "Bacterial small subunit ribosomal RNA", at positions 8 to 526 of the family's 1533-position model. The record is from RNAcentral.
AGAGUUUGAUCAUGGCUCAGGACGAACGCUAGCGGCGUGCCUAAGAAAUGCAAGUCGAGCGAGGUUAGAGAGCUUGCUCUCGAAGCCUAGCGGCGAACGGUCGCGUAACACGUAAGCAACCUGCCCCAAAGCGGGGGAUAGCCCUCCGAAAGGAGGAUUAAUACCGCAUGUGGAUGGUUCUUCGCAUGUAGAAUCAUCUAAAGCAGCAAUGCACUUUGGGAUGGGCUUGCGGCCUAUCAGCUAGUUGGCGAGGUAACGGCUCACCAAGGCGACGACGGGUAGCUGGUCUGAGAGGAUGGUCAGCCGGACUGGGACUGAGAUACGGCCCAGACUCCUACGGGGGGCAGCAAUUAGGAAUCUUGCGCAAUGGGCGAAAGCCUGACGCAGCGACGCCGCGUGACUGAUGAAGUCUUUCGGGAUGUAAAGGUCUUUUUUGGGGGAAGAAGGAUGUGACGGUACCCCAAGAAUAAGCCCCGGCUAACUACGUGCCAGCCGCCGCGGUAAUUC